ACCGCCCGUCCACACCAUGAGAGUCGAUAACACCCGAAGCCUGUGAGCUAACCGUAAGGAGGCAGCAGUCGAAGGUGGGGUUGAUGAUUGGGGUGAAGUCGUAACAAGGUAUC
Molecule: ribosomal RNA, 113 nt
Filed under: uncultured bacterium
Lineage: Bacteria
Description: partial 16S ribosomal RNA
Rfam family: Bacterial small subunit ribosomal RNA
Source: RNAcentral